CUAAGUAACUAAACUCUUAAUAAUACCCAAUCUUAGUUACUUAGGAAAAUGUAAAUAAGGUGCUAAUCCAUGAAAUUACACUUUGCACUUUGUUUAAGUUGGUUAGUGGAGCGUGUGUGGUUAACCAGCACACUAACUCGUAUUUAACAAGGUAGGUAAAGGGUAACUUAAUGUUUAUCAUAGUAUCGACGGAGCGUGUGUGGUUAACCGGCACAUCGAUUGAGGGGUAAACACUUAAGGGUACCAAGUAAUUUGCAUGGUUACUUCACACCUUGUUUUGUGAUCCUCGGCAUCCCAGUCACAAAACCUGAAGGGCACACUCGAGAUUGAAACAUGCCNCAGAGUGUCGGCGCGAGAAAGAAGGGAACUGAGCAAUGGAACUCGGAGCCCUUGAAAUCUAUUUAUAGGGGCAUUUUUGAGGUGUGCCACGUCAUGGAAAGGGAUGGCCACGUCGUGGGGAGUCAAACUUAUCCUCUUCCAUUGAUUGGGCGCCCUCAGUCACUUGUCGGGUCGCGGCAAGUUUGUGCCACGUCGUGGCAAGCCUGACAGCCUCAGAUUUCGGGCCUCGAACUUGUAAAACCCAUAACUUUCGCGUACAAGCUUCGUUUUCGACGUUCUUUAUAUGCACGCGUAGCUGAAAAUAUGCUAUACAACUCUCAUUUAGACUUCAUUGGCUAAUUUUGACUUUACUUUUAAUUAUUUAUUUUUAACGGGCUGGGACACGAAAAUUCCGUUAAAAUUCCAUAACUUCUUCAUCCGAUGUCUGUUGUCGUCAGACUUUUCUCCGUUGCGCUAAUAUUUUUGAGACCUUCGAUUCUCAUUUUGGUUGUUUCGGUCAAAAUUCUCUCGAGCUCUAUUUCGAGUUUUUAGCUGUCUACUGCUAUAUCCGGAUCUUGGAAUAAUCAUAACUUCCUCAUACAAAGUCAGAUUUGGACGUUCUUUUUAUGUACGCUCACGGUUUAAUGUUAUCUACAACUUUCAUUUAGAUAAUUAAGGCUAAAAAGUAUUGUAUUGAAACUUCGCGUUUUUCGUUUAAUCGGUGUUACCGGUUUUGCCCAGAAUCUUCGGUUGGUCAUAACUUCCUCGUUAUAACUCGGAUUUUAGGGUUCUUUAUAUGUACGAAAACCUUGAUACGAUUCCUACUACUUUAUUUAACCCAAAUAAGAUUUUAGGAAAGUUAUAUUUUGACCUAAAUUUGACUGGUUUUACAUUACAUUGUCUCUAAAUAUCGGGUUGUCACACAAAUACUUUCAUAUACAAAAAACAGAAUUUCACUAACGAACAUACAAUUGGUCUUAGGGUUUAAGACUACUUUUCAUUACUAAAGAAAAUAUUGGAUUUUCUUGGAAACUUACAAACAUUUUUCACGGGUACAUCAACAGGUUUUCGUCAUAAAAACAUGCCUAUGAACUCACCAACUUUAUGCUGAUACUCUUUUCAAAACCACUUGUAUACUCAGGAGAUCAGUAGACAGGUACUUCCGCAGGCUAUUGAGAAGACAUAGCGUAUAGAGUCACGUCUUUUGUUAUACUUUUGAUGUAUACAAUUAUAUAUCAAAUUGAUGUAAAUACUAUAUAUAUUCAAUUUAAUGGCUGUGUUUACUUUGAUUACUAUGAUGCAAUUAUUGUGAUACUGCACAUAACCUCCUCCACCCCCGAACGUUUCCGUCGUUUCGGUUUGGGGGUGUGAUAGAUUGGUAUCAGAGCUAUUGUUUAUAAUGAACUAAGUAUACCGAACCUUACAUGGUAUACAACUAUAAACACUAAAGGGGCCGAAAUGCUCUGAAACUAAAAGUAUACUUUUAAAAUUUAAGUAUUUUACAAAAGAGAAAUUAAAUUGCUUCCUACUUUUUGUGCCUACAAAGGUUCCUACCCAAUAAAAUUAUGACAAGUGGUAUCUUUCCAUAUUUUUUUUUAACUAACCCAUUAAGGCUAUAUUAGGAAUAGGGAAAGGAUCAAAUGAGAACACCUAAAAGGUUGAGAACGCGAGAACAUGUAUAUUUAUUUGUGAUUUCAUUUAUUCAUUUGUGGAGAAAUGAUAAAGUUUUACGCACAAUCAACAUGAAUAUGAUUUUUCUCUUCAAUUGAAAUUAAAGACGUAAAAGUUUAUCAUUUCUCCACAAAUGAAUACAUGGAAUCACAAAUAAAUAUACUUUGCUCUCUCAUUCUCAACCUUUUUGGUUUUCUCAUUUGAUCCUACUCCAUUAGCAAUAUAUCAAAUAAAAUUAAAUUGAAUGAUGAUUUGUCAUAAUUUUAGUGGGUAGGAAUAAUUGUAGGAAUAAAAGGUAGGAGGUAAUUUAAUUUCUCUUUACAAAAAGUAUGCAAGUAUACAUACAUACUAGAAGUUGUAUCAUAAUAAGAACUACAUAAAUGUAUUUAGGACGAGUCGGGUACUACGGUUAAACCUGAAUAGUUAUGUAAUCAUAUGUGGGGCUAAUAUAACUUGAUCAACUAUAUUUGUCCGAGAUAUGACCAACAUAUGUUUGGGAGUGACUAUGGUGUUGCGACAAGUCUAAAACUCACCAAAUCCGAUACUAAUGAAGCACAUAGUUAAAAUACUAUAGGAGUAUUUUAUAAUUCUAUAACACCACACAAAAUUGUUACAAGUAGUACUAAUCCCCACAAAUGAAAGACCUGCAAUUCCUUGUUUAUGUCAGUAAACUAUUAUUUUAGAUCUCUUUUAACGCUUAGGAUCAAUAUAUUAUGCAUUUAGAAUUUAGAUAUAUCUUGUUCGAAAGUAUCCGAUUCAUGAUCAAUAUAGAAGGCUUAUUGUAAUUUUCCCCUUGUAUCUUUUAGAGAAAGAUGCCUCCCAAGAAGAGACCCAACAGAGAGAAGAACAACCCUCUGACAUAUCCGCCACCACCACUUCCUCAGUUCGUUCCUGUUAUGUUCCAAGCAGCAGUUACAACCGAUAUGGCUGCCGCAAUGUCACAGAUCAAUUCUGGCGGCACUAGCGGAUCGGGAAGUGGUACCCAUCCCCUUAAUCUUGAUGGUGGCCAGGGACACCCAAAGUAGUGCUCCUACAAAGACUUUAUAAACGCGAAACCCAAAUCCUUUAAUGACAAUAGAGGUGUCAUUGCCCUAACUCGUUGGUUCGAGAAGAUCGAAUCAAUUUUUGAGAUCUGUGCAUGCCCCGAGGCAAGCAGGGUGAUGUUUGCUGUCUGCACCUUCACCGAUAGAGCACUAACUUGGUGGAAUAGCCGAGUCAAAUCCCUAACUCUGCCGGUAGCCAAUGCAAUGGGUUGGGAGAAUGUGAAAGAACUAAUGCUUGCAGAGUAUUGCCCAAGGGGUGAGAUGAUAAAAGCUGGAGCACGAGCUCUGGAACCUGAAGAUGAAUGGUUCCGACAUUGUUACGUACACUGCUAGGUUCAACGACCUAGGUCUUCUGUGUCCCGAGAUGGUCACCUUGAAAAUCAAGAAAAUUGAGAGGUACAUAUGGGGAUUGACACCCCAACUCAAUGGAACGUCUUGGGUGCUAAAUGUCUCACAUUUGACAGUGCCAAGUGUCUGGCGCAAACUUUGAUAGAUCACGGGGAUGAUCAUGAACCCAUUGCAGCCGUUCCCAAACCACCAAAGGAGAGUGGUGGAAAGAGAAAGUUAUGGAACAAGCGCAAGGGCAAGUCUUCGUAGGAGCCCUCCAAGAAACAACAAAUAGUGACAGUUCAUAUUGCUACCACUCCUGCUGUUGUUACUGCAACUCAAGCACCUGCCAGUAGAUAUGCUGGAACCCUUCCAAGGUGCGAUAAGUGUAACUUUCAUCAUCACAGACCCUGUCAUGACAUGCAAUGCAACAACCGUGGAAAAAAGGGACACACAACAUGUUUAUGCAAAACACAAGUCCAACCAACCAAUCAGGCUCCUAGCUGGAGUUGGUCAAGCCUGCUAUGGCUGUGGUGAAACCGGGCAUUAGAAGAGGAAUUGCCCAAAAGCGAAAACUACAGGCAAUACAAGGAAGGUUCUAGCUAUGGGUCAGGAGGAGGCAGUUGUUGAUCCCAUCGUAGUUACAGGUAUGUUCCUCCUCGACAACUCCUAUGCAUGCAUUCUUUUCGAUAGUGGUGUGGCGAGGAGUUUUGUUAGUCAUGCAUUUAAACAUCUACUGAAGCAUAAAUCCCAACCUUUAUCCGGAACAUUCACUAUCAAGAUGGCUAACGGAAAGAAAGAGAGUACUAACGACGUAUUUAUAGGCUGUACCCUUACCCUAAACGACAAUUCUUUUCCAAUCGACCUCAUGCCAGUCUCCAUAAAAAGCUUUGAUGUCAUCAUUGGCAUGGAUUGGUUGAGCCCCAAUCGUGCUGAUACCCUUUGUUAUGAACAAGCCAUUCACCUCAAUCUGCCAUCCGGCGAAGCCCUCAUUAUCUAUGGUGAUAAACUCAGCUCAAGCCUUCGUAUCAUUUCAUGCAUCAAAGCCCAAAAUUAUCUGCGAAAGGAGUGUCAUGCAUUCCUAGCCCAUGUCGUUAACAAAAAACAGGAAGUUAAAGUCCUCGAGAGCAUCCCCGAAGUCUACAAAUUUCCUAAUGUUUUCCCCAAAGAUCUUCCCAGAAUUCCUCCCGAGCGCCAAGUCGAGUUCCGAAUCGACUUAACCCCCAAAGCUACCCCCGUAGCCAAAUCCCCUUGUCGUCUAGCGCCGACAGAAAUGCAAGAGUUAUCCAGCCAGCUCAAUGAACUACUCAACAAGGGAUUCAUCAGACCAAGUUCCUCACAAUGGGGAGCCCCAGUCUUAUUUGUGAAAAAGAAGGAUGGGUCCUUUCGGAUGUACAUAGAUUAUCGCAAACUGAACAAGCUUACCAUCAAAAACCGUUACCCCAACCCAGAAUCGACGACCUCUUCGAUCAACUCCAAGGAGCCAACUACUUCUCAAAGAUAGACCUGAGAUCAGGGUACCAUUAGUUACGAGUCCAUGAAGGUGAUGUUCCUAAGACAACAUUUCAGACUCGAUAUGGUCACUACGAGUAUAUAGUAAUGCCCUUUUGUCUAACCAAUGCACCUGCGGUAUUCAUGGAUCUGAUGAAUCGGGUGUGUCGCCUAUUCCUAGACAAGUUCAUGAUAGUAUUCAUACAUGAUAUACUUGUCUAUUAUCGGAGUGAGGAAGAUCAUACACAACAUCUAAGGCAAGUGAUGGGAACUCUAAGUGCGGAGACAUUAUAUGCAAAAUUCUAAAAGUGCGAAUUAUGGACAAGAAAAGUAACUUUCCUUAGUCACGUGGUUAGCGAAGAAGGCAUACACGUGGACCCUUCCAAAAGUAAAGCGAUCGAGAAUUGGUCAGCACCAAAGACACCCACAUAAAUCCGUCAAUUCUUGGGUCUUGCUGUCUACUAUCGCAGGUUUAUCCAGAAUUUCUCUUGGAUUGCUAAGCCUCUUACCGCCCUGACUCAGAAAGGUGUAACCUUUAGCUGGGAAGAAAAUCAAGACACUGCAUUCCAAACAUUGAAGCAGGCCCUAUGCAGCGCACCUAUCUUGUCUCUUCCAGAAGGGAUAGAGGACUUUGUGCUCUAUUGCGAUGCAUCCAAUCAGGGGCUAGGCUGUGUGCUCAUGCAGUGAGGAAAAGUCAUUGCAUAUGCCUCGAGACAACUGAAAGCACACGAAUUCAAUUAUACAACUCACGAUCUGGAGUUGGGAGCAAUGGUCUUCACAUUAAAGAUUUGGAGACAUUAUCUCUACGAAACCAAGUGCACCAUAUUCACCGACUAUAAAAGCCUUCAAAACAUUUUUGACAAGAAGGAGCUGAACAUGAGACAACGACAAUGGGUAGAGCUACUUAACGAUUAUGAGUGCGAAAUACGCUAUCGUCUCGGCAAGGCCAAUAUGGUAGCAGAUGUCCUCAGCUGGAAGGAGUACUCAAGUCGCAGAGUGACGGCACUCACAAUGACUAUCCAUUCCCAUGUGUCCGCACAAAUCAGAGAGGCUCAGCUGGAAGCCUUGAAACCAGAGAACAUGAUGGAUGAAGCCUUCAGGGGAAUGGAAAAGAACUUAGAAUCAAGGGAGACGGAGUUUAUUAUUUCAUGAACUGGAUUUGGACCCCAAAAUACGGUGGUUACAGGGAGGUUUUCAUGAACGAAGCUCAUCGGACUAGAUACUCUGUUUACCCAGGUUCGGAUAAGAUGUAUCUGGAUCUCAAAAAGCUCUAUUGGUGGCCAAACAUGAAAGUAGAAAUUGCUACCUUCGUGGGCAAGUGCGUGAAUUGCGCUAAGGUGAAUGUGGAAUAUCAAAAGCCCUCAGGUCUACUUCAACAGCCAGAAAUACCUGAGUGGAAGUGGGAACGAAUUACUAUGGACUUCAUUACCAAAUUGCCUAAGACCCCGAGUGGCCAUGACACUAUCUGGGUAAUCGUCGACAGAUUGACUAAGUCUGCCAAGUUCCUGCCAAUCUAAGAAACAUAGAAGAUGGAGAGACUGACCCGAAUCUACAUCUAGAGAUAGUUCGACUGCAUGGUGUGCCUGUGUCUAUUAUCUCUGAUCGAAAUAGCAGAUUCACCUAGAGAUUUUGGCAGUCAUUGUAGAAGGCUCUUGGAACUAAGCUCUAUAUUAGCACAACUUACCAUCCACAUACCAACGGGCAUAGUGAGAGAACCAUUCAAACCCUAGAAGACAUGUUGAGAGCAUACGUUAUCGACUUUGGUAAGUCGUGGGAUACCCAUUUGCCAUUGGUCGAGUUCUCUUACAACAACAACUAUCACACUAGCAUCAAAGCUACUCCUUUCGAAGCCCUGAUAGCUCUCUCACUGGCCCAUAAAUCAUCAGAGAAACCACAGAAAAGAUCAUACAAAUCCGAGAACGACUAAAGGCUUCAAGAGAUAGACAAAAGAGCUAUGCUGAUAAAAGAUGAAAACCUUUGGAGUUCCAGGUUGGUGACCGCGUUCUGUUAACAGUCUCACCUUAGAAAAGCAUGAUACGUUUCGGAAAGCGUGGAAAACUAAAUCCGAGAUACAUUGGGCCAUUCGAGAUGCUCGCCAGGAUCGGUCCCGUAGCUUACAAACUCCGUUUACCCUAAGAGCUUAGCAACGUACAUCCCGUCUUCCACGUGUCGAACCUCAAAAAGUGUCUAUCCGAUGAGACUCUUGUAAUUCCACUCAAUGAAAUCAAGGUCAAUGAGAGUCUUAACUUCGUGGAAGAGCCAGUUGAAAUCAUGGAUAGGGAAGUCAAACGAACGAAACAAAGUUGCAACCCGAUAGUGAAGGUUCGCUAGAAUGCCAAGCGGGGACCUGAAUUCACUUGGGAGCACGAAGAUCAGAUGCGACAGAAGUAUCCGCAUCUCUUUCCCUAGUCCAUAAUUGUAUUCGUUUUAGAAUUUCGGGAUGAAAUUCCUUCUAUCGGGGGGAUGAUGUAACAACUCGAACCUUUUUCAGUCAACGAAAGUUAAAUAUCGUUAAAUAAAAUUUCAAAUUUUAUUUAUUUUAUUUUGUCAAUUUUGUCAAGCUUGUAAGGGUUGAAAACAACUUAGAUCAUAUAAAUUAAAUUUAUAUAAGUGCCGGGACUAAAAUCGUGCGAAACAAUUAAGUUUUUCUUCGAAAAUCAGCCAAGUCUCAUUCAUCCCGGUGUUUACGGCCACAAACUUGUUUAUGGUCAUAAACCGUUCACGGCCUGGGGACCCCACCUCCGACCAUGAACCUAGUCUCUCUCUCUCUCUCUCUCUAUAUAUAUAUAUAUAUAUAUAUGUAUGUAUGUAUCCUCAUUUCUUCGAUGCUGGUCGAAAACGCUACUUUCUCUCUCUAAAUCCACCAACCGAAAACAUAAGAUUUCACUCAUCUAACCUCCGAAAAAUCUUCCAAUCCACAUUGGAAAUUGUUUUGGAGCAUCAAACAUUCACCAUUUCACCAAAUCAAGCAUUCUUCAUUUUUGGGUUCACGGCCGUAAAACCUUCAAAACUUCAUAUUUUCACCAAGAGUACCAAGAACAGACCAUAAAUCAUUCAAAGAACGUAAACCCUUCAAGGACAGAAAACCGUUUACGGCCAAGAACAGUCCACAGCCGAAAACCUUUCACAGUCGCAAGCUACCCUAAAUCGUGAAUCUUGGUUGCAAACCACUUUUCCACUUCGAUCGAGUCUCGGUAACAUUCCUCAACAUAAAUCAAUUGUUUUUCUUACACUUUAACUAAUGUGUUCGCUAAUUUAAAUACAUAUAUGUGUUUAAUUAUUAUUAGGAUUCCGUUAGCUUCACGUAAAACAACUCGAGGGUACUCAUUUCUAGUCUCGUUGUCCGGCACAUACACUCGACCAACUGUGAGUUAAUACCCCUAUAUUUUUACUACUUUUAAUGUUUUCAGGGGGAGAAUACAAGUAAAAUAUUAGAAUUUUGUGCUUUUUUACAAAAUGAUUUCAAACGAAUUUAAAAACCUUUGCAAUUGAUACAACCGAGAAAACACUACAUUUUAUAAAAAUAUUUAGAUAUUCUAAUCCCUUAUGUAACAUGCUGAGCUUGAGGUAAAUUUUCAAUAUACAAUGAUAAUUGCAAAGAUUUUAGUACCAUUCAUGUUAUACAUUCCAAACUUUUUUGUCAUACUUCGGAAGCAUCAUCGAAGUUUUAACAAAAUUCAAGGCAUACGAGUAAGUAUACAUACAAAAACUAUAAUAGGUAUAGUUUGUGGUUCAAUACACCGUUUCAUGAAUUCAAGAACCGUACAUCAUAACAAACAUAUAAACUAUGGUAGAACUACUUUAUGGUAUACAAUGCUAUUAUUCGAAUACAAGAGUACUUUACUAAAUAAUUAUUUAAGUAUAAUUAUUUUUACUCUACUAGACAUACGUAUAGAUUCAAGUCCAAGAGAGCAAUAAAUUACACGUAAACUAGUUAAUACUGGGAUUGUGAGACAUUACUUCAAUUGUACCCUUCGGGAUGUGGGCUAAAUCCUAUCAUAGUAUAACCGAAGUCUCUUAGAGGGAGAACAUGAGAUUUGUGAAUAGAUCUUUUCGGGAUUGACUAUCCCACACCUAAACUGCUAGCUACAGUUAGGCAGGCAUGCCUGGGGUGACAAAUGUCAUAAUGUACGACGCCUGAAGAACGUCUUAGAGGUCACUAAGUCAUGUCAAGUAUGGUUAUACGAAAUCACAAUAGUAUAAACUAACCUUUUUGUUUACGGGAUUUCAUUCUUCAAUAGUUUUAUUUUAAGUAAUAAAAAUACUAUACAUACUGGUGUUAGCCAGGGUUUUCAUACAUUUCGUUUCUUACAUUACUGGUGAUAAACAGGGAUUUCAUACAAAUACUUUCGUAUACAAAAAACAGAAUUCACUAACGAACAUAAAAUUUGUCUUAUGGUUUAAGACUACUUUUCAUUACUAAAGAAAAUAUUAGAUUUUCUUGGAGACAUACAAACAUUUUUCACAGGUACAUCAACAGGUUUUCAUCACAAAAACAUGCUUAUGAACUCACCAGCUUUAUGAUGAUACUAUUUUCAAAACCACUUGUAUUCUCAGGAGAUCAAUAGACAGGUACUUCCGCAGGCUUUUGAGAAGACGGAGCGUGUAGAGUCACGUCUUUUGUUAUACUUUUGAUGUAUACAAUUAUGUAUCAAACUGAUGUAAAUACUAUACACACACACACACACAUAUAUAUAUAUAUAUAUAAUGUAAUGUUUGUGUUUACUUUGAUUACUACGAUGAAAUUGUUGUGAUACUGCACAUAACGUCCUCCAUCCCCGAACAUUUCCGCUGUUUCGGUUUGGGGGUGUGACUUUCUCUCUGUAGAAAACCCAUUCAAAAUCACUUUCUCUCUCUAGACGUUUUUCAAGUUUUUAUGAUCAUGGUGUAUUUGGCUUAUGAUUCUUGGGUUGUGGUCGUUGAAGAUGUCAAAUACAAAGUCAAUAAAAAUCAAUUUUGUGGGUUAUUGUUGUAAGGAGGAUUGAUUACAUGGGAUACUAUGGUUUAUUAUGGAGGCUUGAAAGAUGAUCAUGGAAGAUUUAAAUUUGAACCUCUUUUAAAGUUUUUUAUGUUUAAUCGAACUUGUUAUGUCAAUAUCCACAUGUAGUGAAAAUAAAAAGGAAGGAGAAGAAAGAGAUUUGUUUAAUAAGAAAUACAUUUCACUUAUUGAAUACCUAAAUGAUCUUCGUGCUCUUAAGUAUGUUAAAUUUCAAGACUAUGGAGUUCAAUGUAAUGUUCUUGAUGUUCUUGAAGUUUAGGAGAAGAAGAUUCAAGUUUAUUCUCAUGAAGAUGAAAGAGUUUUUGGCUUGAUUGGAGUUCAAACCGAUGAUACUUUUUGUUCUUGCGAUUUGUUUGAAAGAAUGAUUUCUUAUUGAAAGCGGGUAUUCCAAGAAAUUCACAAGUAUCUAAUUCCAAAAGAUUUGAUUCAAAAUCGCAAAGUUGAAGUUGUGGAAAGUGGUUUGUUCAUGAAAUCAAAUCUUCAAGAUGCAAAAAGAUGAGAAAGAAAAAGAAUAAGAAGAUUAAACGCAAAAACAAGCGGGUUUACUCACAAAAAUCAUCAAGUGUUGUUGUGAAGCGAAUUUGGGCUCCAAAGCAACAAUUUCCAAAGGUUGCAUUGAAUUUAAAGUCAAAACCCAAAAGUGUUUGUGAUUCUUAUGAAAAUGUUCUUGGAUCGUUGAAGAACAUGAAGAACGUGUUGUACAACACGCAUCGUGGGUGGUAUGAUGUUCAAAUUGCAGAUUUUCUCGUUCCAUCAAAAGAAAAAGAUCUUCUAAAUUUGAUUCGUUCAUUGAAAAUGGAACACGAUUCGUGAAAAAGGUAUCUUAAAUUCUCAAAUGGAUUCUAAUCAAGAAAACGUUUCUGGAAAACUAAGAAUUCUAAUCAAAACUCUGUUAAUUCAGAAAGAUCUUCAACUCAAAAUACGAAUUCUUCUCCGAUUCUGAAAGAAAAAUCAAAAUCAUUUGCUAAGCCACAAUUUUCAACUCCUCAGGUUUCAAAAUUAAAGAGUUCUUCAAAACCAACAUUUUCAAAAACAUCAUAUUCGAAAUCUUUUGAAAAGCCAAAGUCAAAUUGUCCUCCAAAAACAUCCGUUUCAAAACCUAUCAACACAUCAAAAGAUGUGAAAGGCAAAAGUAAAGUUGGUUCGGAACCAGAGAUUUCUCUCGUGGAAUACGAAGAAAAUUUGAAAAGGGAAGAAAGGCUUUUGCAAAAAGGAUGGACAACAAACACAAAAAUUUUAUUCAACGAAAAACUAUUCUUGUUGAAAUUAAUCUGUAUGAUGAUCAGAUGGAAGUUUUCAAAAUCAUAAAAGGGAAAAAUAGUGUUUUAACAAAAAGAUCGUUUUAGGUUGACAAGAAUAAGAUUAUUCUUGUUCUUAAGAAGUCCUCACAGGGACCCAAGAAGGUUUGGGUUUCUAAAUGUCUCUGUAGUUUGUAGGUAAUGCAUGAUGAACAGUACGACUCUGAAUGGUAUAUAGACAGUGGUUGUUCGUGUCACAUGACUGGAAAGAGAGAAGAACUGAGAGAAUUUCGAUCGUUAAAUGAUGGCGGUAGAAUUGUAUUUAGAAACAACGCCACAGGAGCAAUCAAAGGCUACAAAAUUAUUACAAAUGGUGGAUUCUCCAUUUGGAAGGUAGCUUGUGUGGAAGGCCUACAACAUAAUCUAAUAAGUGUUUUGCAAUUGGUCGUAGGUACUAGGCUAAAGGUGUCAUUCAAUGAUAAGGGUUCAGAGAUCAUUGAGAAGAAAUCUAAAGUAGUGUUACUGUAACGCCCACGUUUCCAGGCUAGUCAUUAUCCUUGAUGUAAUAGUCUAGGUUAACCCAUGUAACUCUUUUAAAGUAUUAAUGAUGAAAUAUUUGAGUAUUAUGUGAAUUAUGUGAAUCAUGUGUUUAUUUUCUUAAUUAUUAUAAUUUAAUGAAUUAAGAAUAAAAUAAGCGUCAAAAUUAAAGUAUGAAAUAAACUCAAUAUCUUUGCAUAAAGUUGUAGUGUCCGAAACGAGGUUUCCGAAUAUAUAUAGAACGCCCAAAUCUGACUUCGUAUGAGGAAGUUAUGAUUUUCUAAAGUUUCGACUAGGCAGUAUGCAGCCCAAAUCCUCGAUUUGAGAUCCAACAGUUUAUAGCCGAAACAAUCUAAACGGGAAUCGAAGAUCUCGUUGUUAGUAGCGAAACGAUGAAAAGUUAGGCGAGAACGGACGUCGGACGAAGAAGUUAUGAAUUUAUAACGAAGUUUUCCUGUACGGGCCUACUAAAAUUAAAUAAUAAAAAAAUAAAGUCAAAAUUAGCCGACGGAGUCUAAACGAUAGUUGUAGAGCGUAGCCUCACCAACGCGUGGAUAUAAAGAAUGUUGAAAACGGAGCUCGUAUGCGAAAGUUACGCAAUUUAGAAGUUUGACGAGUCAAAUUACGCCGAGCGUAAUUUGAGUACGCCCAGCGUACUCAGGAGGAUGCAAGUUGCCUGACCAAUACUCGAGUGCCACCAAUUGACGCAUGCAGUGACGUAAAGUACGCCUAGCGUAACCAAGUUACGCCCAGGUACUGAGUACGCCCAGCGUAAAUUGAAAUUACGCCCAGCGUAAUCCCAGACCCACCAGCUUAUAAAUAGAAACCGAGAUCAGCCAUUUUCUCGUGUUCAAACUCUUUCUUCUCUCUAGUUUUUGCCUCGAUUUGUGUGCCAAUCAUAUCCCGAAGCAAGAUCCGAAGUCCCGAGGAUCCCGAAGAGCGUUAUUCCAGAGCCGAAGCCCUGCCCGCGAGGAGCCCGGUUUUUGUGAAAAUCUUCCAGAUCUACGGAGAAACACUACUUUUGCAAGCCGUAGUGCUGUCCGAUCAUCUUUUGAUCAGGUGAGUGUGUAGUUACUUUCUUCCAACACGUUAUCAUGAAGUAUUUUAUAUAAAACAUGUGAUAUGUGUACAUAUUUUGUUGUUAUACGUGUGAGUGUAUAUUCACUUUCUUCUAUCUCAUAGAUCUGAUUUAUUCUCUAUGAAAUACGUGUUAUGUGUGUGUGCCUCAUCUGUUAUGUGGAAUAUGUAUUGAUUAAAGCAUGCUAUACAGGUUUUUAAACUAUGUAUAAAAAUGUAUAUUUUUAUCUACUAAUAUGUUGGGUAGAACAUGGGUAGAUAGUUGGUGUGUAAUAAACAGAUGAGAGGCCUCGUUGUUGUUUUGAUUCAGUCAUCUAGCGGAGUUUAGAUGACGACCACAGACUUUUCUAGACAGUCUUGUGGAACACUAGCAGGCUCGCCACCUGUAGGUGUUAAUGAACUUGGGUGUUCAUUCGCUGUACUCCAUCCCCCCCAUGGUUGCCUUAUUUGACAUAUAUUGCCGGGAAACCCAUGAAAGCAUGUGUUGUCGCCCCGAUGAAAUAUUCUUAGACUAGGUCCCUUGUGUUAGUUAUUUUAGGGACAUAAAGUGAGAAUAACGAGAAUGGGUAAUUGGGUUAUUGUUGGUUGAUGAAAAUUAAUUUAAUUAUUUAUUGUGGGUUGAAAACCCUAUAUUCUCACCAGGCUCGCAAGCCUGACCCACUCAGUUUCUUUGUAUUACAGGAAGUGGCGCGAGAGCAUAAGAUGGAUAAUCAUCAAGUUGUUUUGUUUGCAAGUCUGUAUAUGUAUAUAUUUGUUGAAUGACUUGUAAUGUUAUCUUUUAUGCUUUAUGGUAUGUAUCGGAACAUGACAUCCCAGGUUUUUGAUUAUGGAAUGAAUUAUAUUUCUUCAUGAAAUGUUUUGAUAAAAAUCUAUUUUAUCAUGUUUUGUUUUUGGGAUCAAAUUCCGCAUCUCUUUUAAAAUCAAAAGGAUUUACUCUGAAAAUUUUUAAAAAGCAUAAAUGAAACCGGUCUUUUCUGGUCGAGAUUUUGGGGAUGUUACAGUUACUAAAGUCCAAAAGAAAGGGAUAAACGUAUCCUUUGAACUUAAAACCAAUCAAAGGGAAGCCUUCCAUUUGCCUUCUUACGUACUCAUCUUUGGAUGAUAGUUGGCUAUGGCACAGAAGGCUCUCCCAUAUGAAUUUCAAGGAUAUAAACAAGCUUGUACUUAGCAAUCUUGUACGUGGUUAACUUAUUCUAAAGUUCGAGAAGGAACAUCUAUGCGCUGCAUGUGAUCUAGGAAAGAAAAGUAGAACGAGUCACUCGACCAUCAUCAAUAAACAAAUAAUCGAGCCAUUGGAACUAUUACACAUUGAUCUUUGUGGCCCAUCUGCCAUAGAAAGCAUUGGUGGUAAUAAGUAUAUUAUGGUUAUUGUUGAUGAUUUUUCAAGAUUUACAUGAGUUUUCUUUCUUAGACAGAAAUCAGAUGCCACUUCUAAGCUGAAGGAUUUCAUCAAGCAGAUUGAGCUUCAAUGUAAGGGGCGUGGGCCCAAUUUGGAAAAUUAGGUCAUAAUUGGGCCUUGGUUGAUUAACUGGCUUUUGGGCCUUUUAGAUUGUGAGUUUGGGCCUUAGUCUUGGACCAAGCUAAGUAAGGGGUAAAGUGGUCUUUUUACCCUAAGUAUCGAUUUAUGGUAAUGGAUUGGAACCCAAAUGUUAAUUGGGUGUUGUUUUGUUAUUGAUUAGAUCAGGUAUUCAUUGGACCAGCAGCCAAGAAUUUUCAGUGAGAUUCAGCAGUCGAGGUGAGUUUUCUCAUUGGGUUUAGCAAGUCUAAGGCACCAAUGUCGACCCUUAUUGUUUAUGUUAGGAUGCUAGGAUUUUGCGAGGAUCGAUGAUUGAAUCGUAUGCUAUUGUUUAUGAUCAUUAUAUGUGUUCGCAUGAUUAUGUGAUAUGUAUUGUAUGUGUAUAGUGGGAGGGGCCUGAUUUCAGGAAGGGCCUAAGAAUAAUGAAUUUGUAUACCGAGCGGGGAUCGAUGUCGGGCAUGUCCCGAUGAAGGGCGAGGCCCAAAUUAGGGUGGGGGCCGAGUAUGCGAUUUUUUAUGUAUGGUAUGGGGUAGUAAGGGGAACUCACUAAGCUUUGUGCUUACGGUUUUCAAUUUAUGUUUCAUGUACUUUUUGUUCCAAGAGGAAGAGCUCAGGUUGACUACAUCGCACACACCACAUGGAUUCCACUUUUGAGAUAUCACUUUGAUUGUUAUGAUGUUUGAUACACUUAUUUUCAUUUUGGUUGUAUGGAUAAUGUUUAUGGAAUACCAUUUUAUUUAAAUUAAAAAUGAAAUUUUGGAUCAUAUUUUGGGACAUUACAUCUUUGGGGCUAAGGAGCCCAUCACCAGCCGCCGCUGGAUCGCUGACAUGGAAAAUGCUCAACGUACAAGCUUUUUGCCUAAGGCAGAAAAGGUGGGAUUCACGUCCUUUAUGUUGAGGGACCAAGCGUGGGACUGGUAGGAGGAGGUUACUCGUGAGGUAGGGACGAUGGGUGUGACAAUGAUGACAUGGGAGGAUUUUGUGCGGAGGUUUAAUAGGGAGUUUGCACAGACCAUUAAGGUGUAGCAACUGGUGAGGGAGUUCCAGGACCUUCACCAGACUACGAAGACUGUGGUGGAGAUCACCACCAAGUUCAGAAAGAGGGCAUUGCUAGUUUCGCAAUACGUUGUAGAUGAGGAGAUGAUGAAGACGAGAUAUCAUGCUAUGUUGAGGGAUGAUAUCUAGUAGUUCGUGAACUUUUCAGGAUGCAAGACCCUAAAUGAUAUGAUUGAGAAGGCCUGUGAGUGGGAAAUCGAGUUGGUGCUCCAGACGAAGCGGAAUUCGGAAUAGGUGCAGAUAGCAAGGGGCUAGGCCAAGAAGUCCAAGACCUCCAAUACUUCUAGCAGAGGCCAGCAAAGUCGGCAUCGUUAUACCAAGUGCAGAAAGCCACAUAGUGGGGCCUAUCGGGUAGCAGGCUUGGUAUGCUAUAGUUGUGGUCAGUUAGGUCACAUGAGUAGGGAGUGCCUCGAGAACGACUUGAUUUGUUUCCACUACAACCAGACCAACCAUAAAAGGCCGGUUGUCCAAGGUUCUUUAGUAGAGCAGUGGUCGCGCCUGCGCCAGCCACCUUGAGGAUUACUGAUGGUUGCCAGGGCAAGGCAGAUGCCUCUAUGGUGAAGAACAUAGUGUUUCAGUUAACCACCAAUAAGGCCCGAGCAGCGUCGGAUGUCGUUACUUGUAUGCGGCUUAUUUAUAUCUCUCAUUGUUUUCUUAUUAUGCUUAUGUUUGUUAUGAUCAUGUAUAAGGAACUUUUUGGUCAAUGGGUUGUCCGCUCAUUUUUAUUUGAUUCAGGGUCUACCCGAUCCUUUAUAUCUCUUGUGCUCAGUAAGAAGUUUUAAGACACUUCAGGGACUUUGGAUUCCCCUCUGGAGGUAGAGAUUGCGGAUGAUCGUACUGUGAGCGAUGUAAGGGUAUUUCGAGGAUGUAUUCUGAACAUGUUUAGUGAGAGGUUUCCUAUCGAUUUGGUUUCGAUUCCCUUGAAGGGAUUGAAGGUGAUCAUCAGGAUAGACUAGUUAGGGCCCAAUAGGGCCGUGAAUGAUUGUGAGCAGCAGUUGGUGAGAGUUCGAACCCUAAGUGGGGAAGAACUAGUCAUUACUGGUGAGAGAGCUUCACAUGGGCCAACUAUCUAUUUGGCUGCAAGGUCUAGGAGGCUUUUUCGGUAGGGUUGUUUUAGGUUUUUGGCUUGUGUCUCGGAUUCGUGGGUUGGGACCACAUCGGAGUUGAGCAAGGUACCCAUUGUGUGGGAUUUUCCCGACGACUUUCCUGAGGAGUUGUCAAGAGCGCCAGUCGAGUGUUAGGUUGAGUUUCAGAUUGAUUUGAUACCUGGUUUGGCUUCAAUAGCUAAGACGCCAUAUCGCUUAGCACUACCUGAGAUGCACAAGUUGUCUACGCAGCUGCAAGAGAUUCCAGACAAGGAUUUUGUUUGUCUGAGCAGUUCCCUAUGGGGAGCACCGAUCCUGUUCGUGAAAAGGAAGGAUGGGUCACACCAAAUGUUCAUCGGUUAUCGCAAAUUGAACAAGCUAAUGGUGAAGAAGCGCUAUCCACUUCCAAGGAUUGAUGAUUUAUUUGAUCAGCUCCAGGGUGCAUCUUGGCUUUCCAAGAAUGAGGAUCAAGGAUGAGCAUGUACAGAAGACGACCUUUAGAACUCAUUAUGGUCAUUACGACUUCAUGGUGAUGCUUUUCAAGCUCACUUAUGCACCUGCAUUGUUCAUGGAUCUCAUGACCUGGGUUUGCUGGCCGAUGCUAGAUCGGUCUUUGAUUGUUUUCAUUGACGAUAUUUUGGUCUACUCUAAUACCAAGGAGCAUCAUGAACAACAUUUACGAGAGGUGUUGGAGACCUUGAGGAGGGAGAAGCUUUAUUACAAAUUCUCCAAAUGCAAGUUUUGGUUGCAUGAUGUGCAGUUUUUGGGCACAUCAUUAACCAGGGUGGAACCUGUUGGAUUAGGUGUCUAAGCCCAUAACUAUUUUGGUAUGUACUUGACCCGACUGUGAGCUUGGUCCUUUUGGGUUGCCUUCACCAUAGCAACUGAUAGGAUGAACUAAGAAGAAAAAGGUUUAAUUAUGAUUUAUUAAUAUAUUAUAUGAAUAAUAUAUUAAAAGAGAAAUCAUAUUGUUUAAUUAAUAUUAGUCAAGAAUUAAUAAGAGUUAAUUUUGUAGCUAAAAGAUAUUAAUUAAAUAAAGGGGGGGGGGUGAUAUUGCAAUUAUAUGAUAGUCGCAAUUGGGCUAUGGAUUGCUAAUAGAAAGGGGAUUGGACGAAAUCUAUGGGAAGCCCAUAUGGAUUUCGUCCAAGGGCUUUCUAGAGGGACUCCAUGGGCUGCUUAGGGCCUAAGCAGUUGGAUUAGGGUUUCCUGGUUGAAAACCCUAAUAGCCUAAGAAUAGAAGGAACCCUUGGCAAGCCAAAAACGUCCCUAACCUUCUAAGAGAAACCCUAGGAUGUUUUCGGUGCCUCCUUCCUCUCUCCUUGUUCAUCUUUUUGCAUAUGGUGUUUGUGACUCCAUUAGAGGUGCAACAUUUGAGGCACUAGGAUUUCAGAAGUCAAUUACAAUAAGGAUUCAGAUUGUUAUUGCAAGAUAACAAUCAAGGUAAGAUCUAAACUCUAUUCUUUUGUCAAUUUCGAUUAUUGUGUGCUAGAAUUAGGGUUUAUGAGCUUUGGAUGAUUAUUGCAUGUAUAUUAGACAAACUAGAUCCAAAGCUGUAGGGUUUGCAUGUACACCAUAGGAUUGAUGUAGUGGUCAAAACCCAUCAAUGGUAUCAGAGCCUAGGCUGUUUGUUUGAUGUAUUUGAUGCUUGUAUGAUCACUGUUGGCAUGAAAAUCGAAUUUUUUGUCCUCUACCUGACCGACUAGGCGAGUCAGCCUGACUCGGUGAGUCCAGUCCCUGACUCGGCGAGUUCAAGGGUCAGACAGAGGAAAUCUCGGGAUUUUUACUGUUUUGGCUGUGGGAUAAUUACCAUAAACGUUUUUUAUUGAUAAAAUCUAAUUUUUAUUGCUUUGGUAAGAUUAUCCUAACCCAAAUAGAAGGUAAUUGUCAUUUAAUAAAAUAUUUAUUGCUUUAUAUGAUAAACUUUAAUUAUUUGUAUUAUUUGAUGUGCAUUAUCUUGCCUUGAAAUAGAAUUAGGUCAAAUUUAGAUAAUCACUAAUUAUUUGAUUAAUUAAAAGUAUUUGUAAUUUGAUCUAUAUGGUUUUGAAAAGGUUUCAAGACUUGCCCUCAAGUUUUGGAAUUUAAAAUUUUGAUUAAAAUUUUAAUUUUGAAAUAUUAAAUUCUAAAACCCUAGUUUUUGAAAAGUUCAAAUUACACCCUUAUGGUUUUAUUUAAGUUAAUUAAAUUUAUAAUUAAAAGAGAGUUAUUAAAUCCAUAAUGAUAUGGUUUAUAUUUAAUUAAAUUAAAAGUAUAAUAUUAUAUAUGUAUGAGUAAAGAGUCAGCCUUACCAUUAGUAGGCCUCAUUCAUGAAGCUGGUCUCUAAGGAGUGUUCAAGGAAGUGGCUUUUAAAAUGACCGCCAUUGUGUAUCCACUCUUACCCACCACACUCUUGACUAGUGGAGGGUCGUUAGCCGAACGGGUAGGAUAGGACGCAACCCUCCAUUAUAAGUAUAAUGAAGUACGAAGUAACUAUACACUUUUAUAAAUUCCCAAAUCUUAGUUACUUUAGGAAAAAUGUGGAGUUGGUGCUAUUCCAUGAAAUUACAUUUUGUACCCUUGCUAAGACGUUAGAGGAGCGUGUGUUGUUAACCGACACACUAAUUGGGCUCUAAGCAAAGGUGGAAAAGGGUGACUCGAUGUUUAUCAUAGAUCGAUGGAGCGUGUGCGGUUAACCGACACGUCGAUUAGAUGACUAUAACAUUGGGGGCACAAUGUAUAUUUGCAUGGUUAUCUAUAACUUGUUUGUGAUCCUCGACAUCCCAGUCACAAACGAAGGGAACACUCAAGAUUUAAACAUGCCAUUGAAAAGUUCAAUGAAUCUCAAAGGAUCUAGGAGUUUCAAUUCAUUUAAAACUUAGAUUUCCUUUUCGUUUUUCAUGGUGGAAAUUGGUAAAUCGUCAUUUAGCUACCUUUAAAUGUUCUGCAAUUUGGAUUAAGGCAUCCCUCUUCCAUAUUGUAGAAUAUCGUGUUGGGUCCUAGCAUUGAUAUUCCAUUUGGGUGUUAUAUCAAGGAUUCCAAUCAACUAACUUGAAUUUUCUCCCGUUUUGUAGAUGUCAAAGUCUGACAACUAUGGUCUUCCUGAAUUCGUUGGAAAAAGUUUUCCACUUGAAGAUGAUGUUCCACGAUUAGAUCAUGUAAAUGAGAGUCAUGCUUCAAUACCUCCACAUCCUCCAAUAGUUCUCCCUGACCCACGUGUUCAA
RNAcentral lists this long non-coding RNA (19555 nucleotides) under Lactuca sativa (garden lettuce). RNAcentral describes it as "long non-coding RNA (LSAT_LNC001458)". The record is from RNAcentral. Lineage: Eukaryota; Viridiplantae; Streptophyta; Magnoliopsida; Asterales; Asteraceae.